Nannospalax galili (Upper Galilee mountains blind mole rat) is the source of this 108-nucleotide small nuclear RNA. Lineage: Eukaryota; Metazoa; Chordata; Mammalia; Rodentia; Spalacidae. The record is from Ensembl.
GUGCUCAUGUUCUCUGCAGCACACAUACUAAAACUGGAAUGAUACAGAGAUGAUUAGGAUGGCCCUGUGCAGGAAAACACACAUGUCUGUGAAGCAUUCCGUAUUUUU